Apis laboriosa (Himalayan honeybee) is the source of this 1684-nucleotide long non-coding RNA. RefSeq lists it as uncharacterized. The record is from RefSeq and is a predicted model, not a curated record. The transcript is spliced from 3 exons. NCBI's taxonomy places the organism in Eukaryota, Metazoa, Arthropoda, Insecta, Hymenoptera, Apidae.
CUCGUGACUUCUUUUCACCAGUGAAUAUUUGAGCCAUGUUUUAUUAUUUGGAAUCGUUGUGUACUAUUUAUUAACAUUUCUGCAAUUAUCCAUAUUCAUAUUUGAGAUCUGUUUCACGUUCAACGAAUUGGGGGAAGAAAAUUUCAAGCAAAUUUCUUUUCGAUUAAACGAGAUGAGAGCACGUAAAAUGAAGCGAAACGGACGUAUUGAGUUUCGAGAAACGGCGGGAACUACAAUGGCGAGUCAGAGAAGCAAUAUCCUGACGAGAUAACGAAACUAUAUAGGAUGUACCACGGAUGGUUUCAAAGGAAAUUUCACUGAUGAAGCUUCGCAUAUCGAAGUGACGUUUAAUCGAUACGACUCGAACAAAUUAAUGCUUCGAUUUUGGAAGAUAGGAAAUCAAUUAAAUUACUGUUAUCGUGAAGAGGAUCAGAGUUUCAUUACGUGGUGAAAUCCAGUUAUGGCGAAAAAUAAUGCGCGAAAAAAGUCCCUAGAUAGAAAGUAAUUUAUUCGAAACAUACUAUUGUCCAGAAUUUAUCUUUUCAUCGAAAUAACAGAACUCGAAGAAUAAGAAAAUAUUUCCACGAACAGUUGAACUCGGAUCGAUAAUUCUCCUCCUAACCUCGUUAUCUUUUUUCUAUACUAUCUUUUUUCGCUUGAAAAAUUUUCAUUUUUAUCACGUGAUUACAAUUUAACGAUUUCGAUAAUUAGCUAAAUCUCGCGAUCUCGUAACAAUGAAAAUCGAUCGCGAUUUAAUCUAGUGGCAAACUCGUUUUUGGCGCGUAUUUAUUUACAAACGUAUUUACAAUCGUUCGGCUUGAUAUGAGAAGAGAAAGAGAAACAAAAUGCAGGUGGAUCAGUUUUCUCGAUUUACAACUCGUGGUGUUUUGAUCGUGAUCCACCGAACGAAAUCGACGAAAAGCUUGGAAACGAAUUUUUUUGUAAAUGUAUCUCCUUCUAAAUUUUUAUACAAAUUUGUAUAAAAUAAUUUCGCUCGAUAAAAGAAAUAACAUACGGAUAAUGAUAUUUGGUUGAAUAUUUAUCUUAUAUGAUAAAUAAAUAAAAGAUUAUUUCAUAAAAUUUUAAUUUCUUAAAUUUUCGGUAUUGUUUGAUUUAUUUACGGUUAUUUAUUGCAAGUUUUAUAAAGAAAAAUAUAAAAUUUAUUGAGAAAUAUUAAAUGUAUCGAUUGCUUUCAAACUUUUCGUCGAUUUUACAUUAUAAUUAUAUACGUAUGCGAUCAUUUGCAUAUUUGGAACGGUUCCGUGUGUAUUUCGUAAUUAAUUCUUUUUGUAUAUUAGUAAUUUUAUUUACAAAUCGACUUAAUUCUUACGGCAGAAGACUUCGGAUAAGCGGCUACAACGAUAUUUGUAGAAAGCUUGUUCGCGAGGUUCGAUUCAUCACUUUCGUGCCGGAAUUUCUCAGCGUAUCCCAAAUAAAAUUCCAUGUGUGUUCGGUAAAAUAAAUAAAUAAACACGGAAAAUCUCGAAAAUCAUCAUAAAAUUGACUCGAAGAUGGAAUACAGAAAAUUUUCUUCGUAAAAAGUAAAUAGAAAUAUUCAUCGAUCAAAUAAAAUUAAGCUGUUUUGUCCGAAAAAAUUUAACAUGUCUAUUAAAUAUAUUAUUUCAUUCAUUGUGCAAUUCAUCAUCUUUCGUAUUCUAAUUAUAAUUAAAAUAAAUGAAUAGUA